This 261-nucleotide ribosomal RNA is filed under the name uncultured archaeon. RNAcentral describes it as "partial 16S ribosomal RNA". It matches the Rfam family "Archaeal small subunit ribosomal RNA", at positions 748 to 1007 of the family's 1478-position model. The record is from RNAcentral.
UAGCCGUAAACGAUACUCGCUAGGUGUCGGCCACGGUGCGACCGUUGUCGGUGCCGUAGGGAAGCCGUGAAGCGAGCCACCUGGGAAGUACGGCCGCAAGGCUGAAACUUAAAGGAGUUGGCGGGGGAGCACAACAACGGGUGGAGCUUGCGGUUUAAUUGGAUUCAACGCCGGAAAUCUUACCGGGACCGACAGCAACAUGAAGGCCAAAGCUGAAGACUUUGCCGGAUUAGCUGAGAGGUGGUGCAUGGCGUCAGUGAC